AUCCCAUGGUAAAGGCAUCUAUAAAGUAACUUAUUGAAUCUUUCCCAUGCCUCGUAUAGGGACUCAUCAUCCAAUUUUUGAAAAGUGAUGAUCUCAUUUUGCAACU
Small nucleolar RNA from Gossypium arboreum, 106 nucleotides. It matches the Rfam family "Plant small nucleolar RNA R71". Rfam says of the family: R71 is a member of the C/D box family of snoRNAs containing the C (UGAUGA) and D (CUGA) box motifs. The record is from Rfam. Lineage: Eukaryota; Viridiplantae; Streptophyta; Magnoliopsida; Malvales; Malvaceae.